RNAcentral lists this ribosomal RNA (281 nucleotides) under uncultured bacterium. RNAcentral's name for it is "partial 16S ribosomal RNA". It matches the Rfam family "Bacterial small subunit ribosomal RNA", at positions 1144 to 1424 of the family's 1533-position model. The record is from RNAcentral.
GGAGACUGCCCCGGAAAUAGCGGAGGAAGGUGGGGAUGACGUCAAGUCCUCAUGGCCUUUAUGUCCAGGGCUACACACGUCAUACAAUGGCCGGCACAAAGGGUUGCGAUAGCGCGAGGUGGAGCUAAUCCCAAAAAACCGUCCUCAGUCCGGAUUGCAGUCUGCAACUCGACUGCAUGAAGUUGGAAUCGCUAGCAAUCCCAGAUCAGCAUGCUGCGGUGAAUACGUUCCCGGGCCUUGUACACACCGCCCGUCACAUCACGAAAGUUGGUUGUACCGGA